This 463-nucleotide ribosomal RNA is filed under the name uncultured bacterium. Its description in RNAcentral is "bacterial SSU rRNA". It matches the Rfam family "Bacterial small subunit ribosomal RNA", at positions 43 to 507 of the family's 1533-position model. The record is from RNAcentral.
CAGGCUUAAUACAUGCAAGUCGAGGGCAGCGGNGUAGCAAUACUUGCCGGCGACGGCGCACGGGUGCGUAACACGUAUGUAAUCUGCCCAUCACAGGAGGAUAGCCCGGAGAAUUCGAUUAAUACUCCAUAAUAGAAGAUAAAGCAUUUUAUUUUCUUGAAAGUUCCGACGUGAUGGAUGAACAUGCGACUGAUUAGUUUGUUGGUGAGGUAACGGCUCACCAAGACUACGAUCAGUAGGGGUACUGAGAGGUUAAACCCCCACACUGGUACUGAGACACGGACCAGACUCCUACGGGAGGCAGCAGUAAGGAAUAUUGGACAAUGGCCGCAAGGCUGAUCCAGCCAUGCCGCGUGCAGGAAGACGGACCUAUGGUUUGUAAACUGCUUUUGAACGGGAGAAAACCCCCCCUACGUGUAGGGGGCUGAUAGUACUGUUAGAAUAAGCAUCGGCUAACUUCGUG